RNAcentral lists this ribosomal RNA (522 nucleotides) under uncultured eukaryote. RNAcentral describes it as "SSU rRNA". It matches the Rfam family "Eukaryotic small subunit ribosomal RNA", at positions 22 to 548 of the family's 1831-position model. The record is from RNAcentral.
AGUCAUAUGCUUGUCUCAAAGAUUCAUCCAUGCAUGUCUCAGUAUAAGUCUUAACACGGCGAAACUGCGAAUGGCUCAUUAAAACAGUUAUAGUUUAUUUGAUGGUCAAAUCGUUAUAUGGAUAACUGUGGUAAUUCUAGAGCUAAUACAUGCGUACAAACCCGACUUCUCGGAAGGGUUGUAUUUAUUAGAUACAGAACCAAUACGCUCUGCGUUUUUGGAUGAUUCAUAAUAAAUGAACGGAGCACAUGGCUGUGCCGGUGCUGUGUCAUUCAAGUUUCUGACCUAUCAGCUUUCGACGGUAGGGUAUUGGCCUACCGUGGCAUUGACGGGUAACGGAGAAUUAGGGUUCGAUUCCGGAGAGGGAGCCCGAGAAACGGCUACCACAUCUAAGGAAGGCAGCAGGAGCGCAAAUUACCCAAUCCUGACACAGGGAGGUAGUGACAAGAAAUAACAAAGCAAGUCUGUAUCAGAUUUUGCUAUUGGAAUGAGUAGAAUUUAAAUCUCUUUUCGACUAUCAAU